This 516-nucleotide ribosomal RNA is filed under the name uncultured bacterium. RNAcentral describes it as "bacterial SSU rRNA". It matches the Rfam family "Bacterial small subunit ribosomal RNA", at positions 28 to 532 of the family's 1533-position model. The record is from RNAcentral.
GAUGAACGCUAGCGAUAGGCCUAACACAUGCAAGUCGAGGGGCAUCACAUGAAGUAGCAAUACGGAUGGUGGCGACCGGCGCACGGGUGAGUAACACGUAUGCAACCUGCCUUCAACAAGGGGAUAACCCGUUGAAAGACGGACUAAUACUCCAUAACACAGGGGUCCCGCAUGGGAAUAUUUGUUAAAGAUUUAUCGGUUGAAGAUGGGCAUGCGUUCCAUUAGCUGGUUGGUGGGGUAACGGCCCACCAAGGCAACGAUGGAUAGGGGAACUGAGAGGUUUAUCCCCCACACUGGUACUGAGACACGGACCAGACUCCUACGGGAGGCAGCAGUGAGGAAUAUUGGUCAAUGGACGCAAGUCUGAACCAGCCACGUCGCGUGAAGGAAGACGGCCCUACGGGUUGUAAACUUCUUUUAUACGGGAAUAAAGUGCCCCACGUGUGGGUUUUGCAAGUACCGUAUGAAUAAGGAUCGGCUAACUCCGUGCCAGCAGCCGCGGUAAAUACGCAACGA